UAGCAUACGAUGAAGUACUCGGAUUCCCCUUCAAGACAUCAUGGGUGAUGCAAGACCGAGUUUCUGAUGCU
Non-coding RNA from Populus trichocarpa (black cottonwood), 71 nucleotides. The record is from Rfam. NCBI's taxonomy places the organism in Eukaryota, Viridiplantae, Streptophyta, Magnoliopsida, Malpighiales, Salicaceae.